GCGGGUAUAGUUCAGUGGUAGAACGUCACCUUCCCAAGGUGAAUGCCAGGGGUUCGAGUCCCCUUACCCGCU
Halothece sp. PCC 7418 is the source of this 72-nucleotide transfer RNA. It matches the Rfam family "tRNA". From Rfam's summary of the family: Transfer RNA (tRNA) molecules are approximately 80 nucleotides in length. Their secondary structure includes four short double-helical elements and three loops (D, anti-codon, and T loops). NCBI's taxonomy places the organism in Bacteria, Bacillati, Cyanobacteriota, Cyanophyceae, Chroococcales, Halothecacae. The record is from Rfam.